This 633-nucleotide long non-coding RNA is filed under the name Nicotiana tabacum (common tobacco). RNAcentral's name for it is "long non-coding RNA (NTAB_LNC015140)". The record is from RNAcentral. Lineage: Eukaryota; Viridiplantae; Streptophyta; Magnoliopsida; Solanales; Solanaceae.
AAUCAAGCACCCACCUGGAGAACAAGGGAAUACAGUUCAAGUUUCGGCAAUCGGGCUCCCACCUGGAGAACAAGGGAAUACAGUUCAAGUUUCGGCAAUCGGGCGCCCACUUGGAGAACAAGGAAAUACAGUUCAAGUUUUGGCAAUCAGGCGCACACCUAGAGAACAAGGGAAUACAAUUUCAAGUUUUGGUAGUCAGGCGCCCACCUGCAGAACAAGGGAAUAUAGUUAAAGUUUUGGCAAUCAGGCACCCACCUGAGAACAAGGGAAUACAAUUCAAGUUUGGGCAAUCAGGUGCCUACCUAGAGAACAAAGGCAUACAGUUCAAGUUUUGGCAAUCAGGCGCCCACCUGGAGAACAAGGGCAUACAAUUCAAGUUUGGGCAAUCAAGCACUCACCUAGAGAACAAGGGAAUAUAGUUCAAGAUUUGGUAAUUAGGCACCCAUCUGGAAAAUAAGGGAAUACAGUUCAAGUUUUGGCAAUCAGGCGCCCACCUGGAGAAUAAGGGAAUACAGUUCAAGUUUCGGCAAUCAGGCGCCCACCUAGAGAACAAAGGAAUGCAGUUCAAGUUUUCGCAAUUAGGCGCCCACCUGGAGAAACAGGAAAUACAGUUUAAGUUUUGGCAAUCAGGCG